RNAcentral lists this unclassified non-coding RNA (379 nucleotides) under uncultured Oligoflexales bacterium. Its description in RNAcentral is "contains 16S-23S intergenic spacer region". Lineage: Bacteria; Pseudomonadati; Bdellovibrionota; Oligoflexia; Oligoflexales. The record is from RNAcentral.
UCCGUGUUAACCACGGCAGUCUCUUUAGAGAGCCCAACUUAAUGAUGGCAACUAAAGACAAGGGUUGCGCUCGUUGCGGGACUUAACCCAACAUGUCACCACACGAGCUGACGACAGCCAUGCAGCACCUGUCUUCCUGCUGUAUUGCUACAGAAGCCCUAUCUCUAGGGUUGUCAGGAGAUGUCAAAUCCAGGUAAGGUUCUUCGCGUUGCUUCGAAUUAAACCACAUGAUCCACCGCUUGUGCGGGCCCCCGUCAAUUCCUUUGAGUUUUAGUCUUGCGACCGUACUUCCCAGGCGGGGUACUUAUUGCGUUAGCGCCGGUUCGGCGGGGGUCAAGACCCACCAAACCUAGUACCCAUCGUUUACAGCGUGGACUAC